Molecule: transfer RNA, 71 nt
Filed under: Ailuropoda melanoleuca (giant panda)
Lineage: Eukaryota; Metazoa; Chordata; Mammalia; Carnivora; Ursidae
Rfam family: tRNA
About the family: Transfer RNA (tRNA) molecules are approximately 80 nucleotides in length. Their secondary structure includes four short double-helical elements and three loops (D, anti-codon, and T loops). Further hydrogen bonds mediate the characteristic L-shaped molecular structure. tRNAs have two regions of fundamental functional importance: the anti-codon, which is responsible for specific mRNA codon recognition, and the 3' end, to which the tRNAs corresponding amino acid is attached (by aminoacyl-tRNA synthetases). tRNAs cope with the degeneracy of the genetic code in two manners: having more than one tRNA (with a specific anti-codon) for a particular amino acid; and 'wobble' base-pairing, i.e. permitting non-standard base-pairing at the 3rd anti-codon position.
Source: Rfam by way of RNAcentral
GUGAAAUAGGUGAUGGGGAUUGCAUGAGACUCUCAAUCUCAAGGUCGUGAGUUCAAGCCCCACGUUACACA